This 641-nucleotide ribosomal RNA is filed under the name Kocuria sp. DBT73. RNAcentral describes it as "bacterial SSU rRNA". It matches the Rfam family "Bacterial small subunit ribosomal RNA", at positions 72 to 721 of the family's 1533-position model. Lineage: Bacteria; Bacillati; Actinomycetota; Actinomycetes; Micrococcales; Micrococcaceae. The record is from RNAcentral.
CUUGGUGCUUGCACUGGGUGGAUGAGUGGCGAACGGGUGAGUAAUACGUGAGUAACCUGCCCUUGACUCUGGGAUAAGCCUGGGAAACUGGGUCUAAUACUGGAUAUGACCUCCUGUCGCAUGGUGGGGGGUGGAAAGGGUUUGUACUGGUUGUGGAUGGGCUCACGGCCUAUCAGCUUGUUGGUGGGGUAAUGGCCUACCAAGGCGACGACGGGUAGCCGGCCUGAGAGGGUGACCGGCCACACUGGGACUGAGACACGGCCCAGACUCCUACGGGAGGCAGCAGUGGGGAAUAUUGCACAAUGGGCGCAAGCCUGAUGCAGCGACGCCGCGUGAGGGAUGACGGCCUUCGGGUUGUAAACCUCUUUCAGCACGGAAGAAGCGAAAGUGACGGUACGUGCAGAAGAAGCGCCGGCUAACUACGUGCCAGCAGCCGCGGUAAUACGUAGGGCGCAAGCGUUGUCCGGAAUUAUUGGGCGUAAAGAGCUCGUAGGCGGUUUGUCGCGUCUGCUGUGAAAGCCCGGGGCUUAACCCCGGGUGUGCAGUGCGUACGGGGCAGACUUGAGUGCAGUAGGGGAGACUGGUACUCCUGAUGUAGCGAUGAAAUGCGCAGAUAUCAGGAAGAACACCGAUGGCGAAGG